UGGGGAAUAUUGGACAAUGGGCGCAAGCCUGAUCCAGCCAUGCCGCGUGAGUGAUGAAGGCCCUAGGGUUGUAAAGCUCUUUCACCGGUGAAGAUAAUGACGGUAACCGGAGAAGAAGCCCCGGCUAACUUCGUGCCAGCAGCCGCGGUAAUACGAAGGGGGCUAGCGUUGUUCGGAUUUACUGGGCGUAAAGCGCACGUAGGCGGACUAUUAAGUCAGGGGUGAAAUCCCGGGGCUCAACCCCGGAACUGCCUUUGAUACUGGUAGUCUUGAGUUCGAGGGAGGUGAGUGGAAUUCCGGGUGUAGAGGUGAAAUUCGUAGAUAUUCGGAGGAAAACCAGUGGCGAAGGCGGCUCACUGGCUCGAUACUGACGCUGGGGUGCGAAAGCGUGGGGAGCAAACAGG
This 404-nucleotide ribosomal RNA is filed under the name Actinomycetes bacterium. RNAcentral's name for it is "Actinobacteria bacterium partial 16S ribosomal RNA". It matches the Rfam family "Bacterial small subunit ribosomal RNA", at positions 355 to 776 of the family's 1533-position model. Lineage: Bacteria; Bacillati; Actinomycetota; Actinomycetes. The record is from RNAcentral.